GAUGAACGCUGGCGGCGUGCCUAAUACAUGCAAGUCGAGCGAACAGACGAGGAGCUUGCUCCUCUGACGUUAGCGGCGGACGGGUGAGUAACACGUGGAUAACCUACCUAUAAGACUGGGAUAACUUCGGGAAACCGGAGCUAAUACCGGAUAAUAUAUUGAACCGCAUGGUUCAAUAGUGAAAGACGGUUUUGCUGUCACUUAUAGAUGGAUCCGCGCCGCAUUAGCUAAUUGGUAGGUAACGGCUUACCAAGGCGACGAUGCGUAGCCGACCUGAGAGGGUGAUCGGCCACACUGGAACUGAGACACGGUCCAGACUCCUACGGGAGGCAGCAGUAGGGAAUCUUCCGCAAUGGGCGAAAGCCUGACGGAGCAACGCCGCGUGAGUGAUGAAGGUCUUCGGAUCGUAAAACUCUGUUAUUAGGGAAGAACAAAUGUGUAAGUAACUAUGCACGUCUUGACGGUACCUAAUCAGAAAGCCACGGCUAACUACGUG
Molecule: ribosomal RNA, 496 nt
Filed under: uncultured bacterium
Lineage: Bacteria
Description: partial 16S ribosomal RNA
Rfam family: Bacterial small subunit ribosomal RNA
Source: RNAcentral